Molecule: unclassified non-coding RNA, 300 nt
Filed under: uncultured Hyaloscyphaceae
Lineage: Eukaryota; Fungi; Ascomycota; Leotiomycetes; Helotiales
Description: sequence contains 5.8S rRNA gene, ITS2
Rfam family: 5.8S ribosomal RNA (bases 1-98)
Source: RNAcentral
GCAGCGUCAGAUGUGUAUAAGAGACAGGUGAGUCAUCGAAUCUUUGAACGCACAUUGCGCCCUCUGGUAUUCCGGGGGGCAUGCCUGUUCGAGCGUCAUUAUGACCAAUCACGCAAGUGGUAUUGGGGCUUGCCAGCUUUCGGCAUCCCUUAAAAACAGUGGCGGUGCCAUAGGCUCUCAGCGUAGUAAUUAUUCCGCUCUUGAGUCCUGGACGUACUUGCCAAAACCCCAACUUUCUUAAGGUUGACCUCGGAUCAGGUAGGGAUACCCGCUGAACUUAAGCAUAUCAAUAAGCGGAGG